AUACGGAGGGUGCAAGCGUUAAUCGGAAUUACUGGGCGUAAAGCGUGUGUAGGUGGAUUGUUAAGUCAGAUGUGAAAGCCCCGGGCUCAACCUGGGAAUUGCAUUUGAUACUGGCAAUCUAGAGUAUGGUAGAGGGUAGUGGAAUUCCCGGUGUAGCGGUGAAAUGCGUAGAGAUCGGAAGGAACAUCAGUGGCGAAGGCGGCUCUCUGGACCAAAACUGACGCUGAGGUGCGAAAGCGUGGGUAGCAAACAGGAUUAGAAACCCCAGUAGUCC
RNAcentral lists this ribosomal RNA (274 nucleotides) under uncultured bacterium. RNAcentral describes it as "partial 16S ribosomal RNA". It matches the Rfam family "Bacterial small subunit ribosomal RNA", at positions 523 to 796 of the family's 1533-position model. The record is from RNAcentral.